Rhodobacteraceae bacterium HTCC2150 is the source of this 89-nucleotide regulatory RNA element. It matches the Rfam family "chrB-a RNA". The record is from Rfam. Lineage: Bacteria; Pseudomonadati; Pseudomonadota; Alphaproteobacteria; Rhodobacterales; Paracoccaceae.
UUUAAGGGGAAAUCGCGAAUGCCCCGUGAGGCGUCAGCCGAAAAUUCGCAUCCUUGUAACCCUUUGUUUGAAAGGAAGGAUGCGCUAUG